AACGAACGCUGGCGGCAGGCUUAACACAUGCAAGUCGAACGCCCCGCAAGGGAGUGGCAGACGGGUGAGUAACGCGUGGGAACAUACCCUUUCCUGCGGAAUAGCUCCGGGAAACUGGAAUUAAUACCGCAUACGCCCUACGGGGGAAAGAUUUAUCGGGGAAGGAUUGGCCCGCGUUGGAUUAGCUAGUUGGUGGGGUAAAGGCCUACCAAGGCGACGAUCCAUAGCUGGUCUGAGAGGAUGAUCAGCCACAUUGGGACUGAGACACGGCCCAAACUCCUACGGGAGGCAGCAGUGGGGAAUAUUGGACAAUGGGCGCAAGCCUGAUCCAGCCAUGCCGCGUGAGUGAUGAAGGCCUUAGGGUUGUAAAGCUCUUUCACCGAUGAAGAUAAUGACGGUAGUCGGAGAAGAAGCCCCGGCUAACUUCGUGCCAGCAGCCGCGGUAAUACGAAGGGGGCUAGCGUUGUUCGGAAUUACUGGGCGUAAAGCGCACGUAGGCGGAUAUUUAAGUCAGGGGUGAAAUCCCGCAGCUCAACUGCGGAACUGCCUUUGAUACUGGGUAUCUUGAGUAUGGAAGAGGUAAGUGGAAUUCCGAGUGUAGAGGUGAAAUUCGUAGAUAUUCGGAGGAACACCAGUGGCGAAGGCGGCUUACUGGUCCAUUACUGACGCUGAGGUGCGAAAGCGUGGGAGCAAACAGGAUUA
Molecule: ribosomal RNA, 702 nt
Filed under: uncultured Agrobacterium sp.
Lineage: Bacteria; Pseudomonadati; Pseudomonadota; Alphaproteobacteria; Hyphomicrobiales; Rhizobiaceae
Description: bacterial SSU rRNA
Rfam family: Bacterial small subunit ribosomal RNA
Source: RNAcentral